CUAAGGCCGAUGGCGACCGGCGCACGGGUGAGUAACGCGUAUGCAACUUACCUAUCAGAGGGGGAUAACAGUUAGAAAUGACUGCUAAUACCGCAUGACGCAUAGAGGUCACAUGAUCUUUAUGCCAAAGAUUUAUCGCUUCAAGAUGGCCUCGCGUCUGAUUAGCUGGUUGGCGGGGUAACGGCCCACCAAGGCGACGAUCAGUAGCCGGACUGAGAGGUUGAACGGCCACAUUGGGACUGAGAUACGGCCCAGACUCC
RNAcentral lists this ribosomal RNA (260 nucleotides) under uncultured Oscillospiraceae bacterium. RNAcentral's name for it is "partial 16S ribosomal RNA". It matches the Rfam family "Bacterial small subunit ribosomal RNA", at positions 79 to 339 of the family's 1533-position model. Lineage: Bacteria; Bacillati; Bacillota; Clostridia; Eubacteriales; Oscillospiraceae. The record is from RNAcentral.